Molecule: long non-coding RNA, 1030 nt
Filed under: Homo sapiens (human)
Lineage: Eukaryota; Metazoa; Chordata; Mammalia; Primates; Hominidae
Description: HSALNT0337998
Source: RNAcentral
CUGGCUGGUUCUCACCAUUAGGUGCUUUCACUGGCCUCUGCCUUUGCAUGCACUGUUCCUGGCCUGAAACACCCUUCACCUCACUCUUGGCCUUCAACGCUUAACCUUCAUUGAACACCAUGUGGAUUUGAGUGACAUUCCAAGAUUUGGAGCAGAUUGAAUUUGGUGUUGAGAGGAGCAAGAGAGAGAAAGACGUCAAAAUAAGUCAAAUGUGUUCCUACUGGUGUAUUGCAACUUGUAGUGAUGCAGGAAGUGGGGAAAUUGGAAAGGAGGGAGUUUGUGGGGGAGGAGAUGCUCUCCUUCUUUGAGCAGGGUGGAUUUCUCCGGCCAGUGACACAGUCAUUGAGGACAGCCAAAGUCAUCAAGAAAAGACACAGUGAGAACUCAGCCUUGGGGGUGGUGACCUGGGAGUCCCUGGGUUGCUAGUUAGUGGUCAGAACUGGGCCUGAUGGACAAACUCAGGCAAGGUAGGGGUUAGGUGGGGACCAAAGCAGGCCAGGCUGAUGGUGGAGUGCGCAGGGCCAGGCACCCUCCCUGGAGGCAUCAGCCUGGGCUUGCUUUACUACUCUGGAAGGGAACCCAAGCCCCAGGACGCUAAAUCUUAUGCCAAUGUUCAAAUAUAACCAUUUCUUUCUUUUUUUUUUUUUUUUUUUUGAGACGGAGUCUCUCUUUGGAGUGCAGUGGCGCCAUCUUGGCCCCCUGAAACCUCCGACUCCCUGGUCCAAGCGAUUCUCCUGCUUCAGCCUCCCGCGUAGCUGGGAUUACAGGCAUGCGCCACCGUGGCCAGCUAAUUUUUGUAUUUUCACUAGAGACAGGGUUUCACCAUGUUGACCAGGAUGGUCUCGAUCUGCUGACCUUGUGAUCCGCCCGCCUCGGUCUCCCAAAGUGUUGUUGGGAUUACAGGCAUGAGCCACCACGCCGGACCAAAUAUAACCAUUUCUAAAAGCAUUCCUCAGCGCUUGGAACUUGCGAGCUGAUGGCUUUUGGUGGAGCCCAGGAGGGGCGCUGUGGGGCACAGACGUGUGCGGGG